Long non-coding RNA from Quercus robur (English oak), 1037 nucleotides. RefSeq lists it as uncharacterized. NCBI's taxonomy places the organism in Eukaryota, Viridiplantae, Streptophyta, Magnoliopsida, Fagales, Fagaceae. The record is from RefSeq and is a predicted model, not a curated record. The transcript is spliced from 3 exons.
UUAGUUUUUCCCUUCCAAAUCCGUCUACUAUUCCCUUUCGUUAGCUAAAUCUGAUGAUGAUUUGAUCGUCAGUUGAUUUAUGAUCGUCCAGAUGAAGCUGUUCCUCGCCAGACCAAUCUUCUGCAACCCGUGGACGAACGAAAGGAAGUAGUUUGCCGGCGUUGUGCCUGCAAAAAGGUCUCCGAUGCCAAAGUUAGAAAGAUUGACAAAGGAGAACAAUGGGAGUAAUUUGCUAGAGUGUUUUCUUACCCUCCCCCUUUCGGGGUUCCGGCUUUAUAUAUGUGUGUUUGCAGGUCUUCUCUUUUAGCCGUUGGUGGAGCCUUGAUGGAGGCUUUAAUCUAGCCUGGUAACGUCUUUGCUGGGUGUUAAUGAUGAGCUGCCAUUCCCAACGGUCUGAAGGUUUGAUUACUGUUUUGUAACCGUUCCGUGGAGAGUGGGAACGAAUGUUCGGAUCUUUGAGCAACGACCUUACCUCUCAGGACGAUUUUAGUAAGAUCGUCCUUAUCUUGCAUUGUAUGGACGAUUACCAUUUUGGUCGGGCUUAUCAGCUGCCCCCCUAUUCCAUGGUCGUCCAUUAUUUGGACGAUUAUAGGAAUAUGAAAAGAUUGUUAUUUAUUUUUCAGAAAUGGCGCUUCGAGUUCUGCUCUGCAUUGAUUGCGUAGUGGCGGCUGUGGCUCCUCUCAGUGCCACGUGUCAGAUUUCUACUGGUGGGAGUGCCUCGUUUCCGUUGAUCUCCCUUACGCAUAUUUUGCUCCUCACCUCCUCAGUUUCCUCCCUAACUUCCAGGUCUUCUCUUUUAGCCGUUGGUGGAGCCUUGAUGGAGGCUUUAAUCUAGCCUGGUAACGUCUUUGCUGGGUGUUAAUGAUGAGCUGCCAUUCCCAACGGUCUGAAGGUUUGAUUACUGUUUUGUAACCGUUCCGUGGAGAGUGGGAACGAAUGUUCGGAUCUUUGAGCAACGACCUUACCUCUCGGGAUGAUUUUAGUAAGAUCGUCCUUAUCUUGCAUUGUAUGGACGAUUACCAUUUUGGUCGGGCUUA